AGAGUUUGAUCAUGGCUCAGGAUGAACGCUAGCGGCAGGCCUAAUACAUGCAAGACUAGGGGCAGCAAUGUCACCGUCGCACGGGUGCGUAACGCGUAUGCAACCUACCUAUCACAGGGAGAUAGCCUUUGGAAACAGGGAUUAAUACCGCAUGAUACUAUUGGAUAGCAUUAUUUAAUAGUUAAAGAUUUAUUGGUGAUAGAUGGGCAUGCGUCUGAUUAGUUAGAUGGUGGGGUAACGGCCUACCAUGACGAUGAUCAGUAGGGGGCGUCAGAGCGUGGUCCCCCACACUGGCACUGAGAUACGGGCCAGACUCCUACGGGAGGCAGCAGUAGGGAAUAUUGGGCAAUGGAUGCAAGUCUGACCCAGCCAUGCCGCGUGGAGGAAGAAGGUCCUCUGGAUUGUAAACUCCUUUUUUGGGGGAAGAAGAGACAUCUUGCGAGGUGUUGUGACGGUACCCUAAGAAUAAGCCACGGCUAACUACGUGCCAGCAGCCGCGGUAAUAC
Molecule: ribosomal RNA, 506 nt
Filed under: uncultured bacterium
Lineage: Bacteria
Description: bacterial SSU rRNA
Rfam family: Bacterial small subunit ribosomal RNA
Source: RNAcentral